RNAcentral lists this ribosomal RNA (406 nucleotides) under uncultured bacterium. RNAcentral's name for it is "partial 16S ribosomal RNA". It matches the Rfam family "Bacterial small subunit ribosomal RNA", at positions 30 to 526 of the family's 1533-position model. The record is from RNAcentral.
AUUGAACGCUGGCGGCAGGCCUAACACAUGCAAGUCGAGCGAGUGGCGGACGGGUGAGUAAUGUCUGGGAAACUGCCUGAUGGAGGGGGAUAACUACUGGAAACGGUAGCUAAUACCGCAUACCAUCGGAUGUACCCAGAUGGGAUUAGCUAGUAGGUGGGGUAAAGGCUCACCUAGGCGACGAUCCCUAGCUGGUCUGAGAGGAUGAUCAGCCACACUGGGACUGAGACACGGUCCAGACUCCUACGGUGGGCAGCAGUGGGGAAUAUUGCACAAUGGGCGCAAGCCUGAUGCAGCCAUGCCGCGGGUAUGAAGAAGGCCCUAGGGUUGUAAAGUACUUUCAGGCGGGAGGCGUUACCCACAGAAGAAGCACCGGCUAACUCCGUGCCAGCAGCCGCGGUAAUUC